RNAcentral lists this long non-coding RNA (246 nucleotides) under Manihot esculenta (cassava). Its description in RNAcentral is "long non-coding RNA (MESC_LNC004985)". Lineage: Eukaryota; Viridiplantae; Streptophyta; Magnoliopsida; Malpighiales; Euphorbiaceae. The record is from RNAcentral.
GGUUUUUAAGGGACGCGCAUUUUCGGCGGCCGAACUAAUCUUCGGCGGCCGAAACUGGGCAAGUUUAGGAGGCCGAACUUAAACUUCGGCGGCCGAAACUUCAUAAAGUUCGGCGGCCGAAUAAAGUGUUAGGCGGCCGAAAAAGAGAAAAGAAAAAGACAAGAAAAUUCCCGCUUUUCAUAUUGCCCUUGAAAUUGAAGGUUAGGGGGCCGAAUGUGCCUCCGAACCUGGAAUUUUUGGGCUUCC